RNAcentral lists this ribosomal RNA (425 nucleotides) under uncultured bacterium. RNAcentral describes it as "bacterial SSU rRNA". It matches the Rfam family "Bacterial small subunit ribosomal RNA", at positions 33 to 507 of the family's 1533-position model. The record is from RNAcentral.
ACGCUGGCGGCAGGCCUAACACAUGCAAGUCGAACGCUCCGCAAGGGGAGUGGCAGACGGGUGAGUAACACGCGGGAACCUACCUCGAGGUGCGGAACAACCAAGGGAAACUUUGGCUAAUACCGCAUGUGCCCUUAGGGGAAAGAUUUAUCGCCUUGGGAUGGGCCCGCGUCGGAUUAGCUAGUUGGUGUGGUAAUGGCGCACCAAGGCGACGAUCCGUAGCUGGUCUGAGAGGAUGAUCAGCCACACUGGGACUGAGACACGGCCCAGACUCCUACGGGAGGCAGCAGUGGGGAAUAUUGGACAAUGGGCGCAAGCCUGAUCCAGCCAUGCCGCGUGUGUGAUGAAGGCCUUAGGGUUGUAAAGCACUUUCGCCGAUGAAGAUAAUGACUGUAGUCGGAGAAGAAGCCCCGGCUAACUUCGUG